UACGGAGGAUCCGAGCGUUGUCCGGAUUUACUGGGUGUAAAGGGCGUGCAGCCGGAGAGACAAGUCAGAUGUGAAAUCCACAGGCUCAACCUGUGAACUGCAUUUGAAACUGUUUCCCUUGAGUAUCGGAGAGGUCAUCGGAAUUCCUAGUGUAGCGGUGAAAUGCGUAGAGAUUAGGAAGAACACCAGUGGCGAAGGCGACUUACUGGACUGUAACUGACGCUGAGGCAUGAGAGCAUGGGGAGCAAACAGG
RNAcentral lists this ribosomal RNA (253 nucleotides) under uncultured Oscillospira sp. RNAcentral's name for it is "partial 16S ribosomal RNA". It matches the Rfam family "Bacterial small subunit ribosomal RNA", at positions 524 to 776 of the family's 1533-position model. The record is from RNAcentral. Lineage: Bacteria; Bacillati; Bacillota; Clostridia; Eubacteriales; Oscillospiraceae.